Ooceraea biroi (clonal raider ant) is the source of this 103-nucleotide long non-coding RNA. RefSeq lists it as uncharacterized. NCBI's taxonomy places the organism in Eukaryota, Metazoa, Arthropoda, Insecta, Hymenoptera, Formicidae. The record is from RefSeq and is a predicted model, not a curated record.
CCUCGGUCCACCAGCAAAAUGCGAUUCGUAGUAUUCGUACCGGUACUAGGAAUCGGUGGGUACAGCUGAUGCACUGUAGCCUUAUUACCCAUGUACUCUGCGU